RNAcentral lists this ribosomal RNA (460 nucleotides) under uncultured bacterium. RNAcentral describes it as "partial 16S ribosomal RNA". It matches the Rfam family "Bacterial small subunit ribosomal RNA", at positions 338 to 795 of the family's 1533-position model. The record is from RNAcentral.
CCUACGGGAGGCAGCAGUGAGGAAUAUUGGUCAAUGGACGAGAGUCUGAACCAGCCAAGUAGCGUGAAGGAUGACUGCCCUAUGGGUUGUAAACUUCUUUUAUAAAGGAAUAAAACGAGGCACGUGUGCCUUUUUGCAUGUACUUUAUGAAUAAGGAUCGGCUAAUUCCGUGCCAGCAGCCGCGGUAAUACGGAGGAUCCGAGCGUUAUCCGGAUUUAUUGGGUUUAAAGGGAGCGUAGAUGGGUUGUUAAGUCAGUUGUGAAAGUUUGCGGCUCAACCGUAAAAUUGCAAUUGAUACUGGCAGUCUUGAGUACAGUUGAGGUAGGCGGAAUUCGUGGGGUAGCGGUGAAAUGCUUAGAUAUCACGAAGAACCCCGAUUGCGAAGGCAGCUUACGAAACUGUGACUGACAUUGAUGCUCGAAGGUGUGGGUAUCAAACAGGAUUAGAUACCCUUGUAGUC